RNAcentral lists this ribosomal RNA (275 nucleotides) under uncultured bacterium. Its description in RNAcentral is "partial 16S ribosomal RNA". It matches the Rfam family "Bacterial small subunit ribosomal RNA", at positions 338 to 605 of the family's 1533-position model. The record is from RNAcentral.
CCUACGGGUGGCUGCAGUGGGGAAUAUUGGUCAAUGGGCGCAAGCCUGAACCAGCCACGCCGCGUGAGUGAUGAAGGCCUUCGGGUUGUAAAGCUCUGUGGGGAGGGACGAAAACGGUCCGGAAGAAACGACGGAUCCUUGACGGUACCUCCUUAGCAAGCACCGGCUAACUCUGUGCCAGCAGCCGCGGUAAUACAGAGGGUGCGAACGUUGCUCGGAAUUACUGGGCGUAAAGCGCGUGUAGGCGGGACGGUAAGUCGGAAGUGAAAUCCCCG